This 253-nucleotide ribosomal RNA is filed under the name uncultured bacterium. Its description in RNAcentral is "partial 16S ribosomal RNA". It matches the Rfam family "Bacterial small subunit ribosomal RNA", at positions 524 to 776 of the family's 1533-position model. The record is from RNAcentral.
UACGAAGGGGGCUAGCGUUGUUCGGAAUCACUGGGCGUAAAGCGCACGCAGGCGGAUCGAUAAGUCGGGGGUGAAAGCCCGGGGCUUAACCACGGAAGUGCCUUCGAUACUGUCGGUCUCGAAUCCGGGAGAGGUGAGCGGAAUUCCUAGUGUAGAGGUGAAAUUCAUAGAUAUUAGGAAGAACACCAGUGGCGAAGGCGGCUCGCUGGCCCGGUACUGACGCUCAGGUGCGAAAGCGUGGGGAGCAAACAGG